RNAcentral lists this ribosomal RNA (253 nucleotides) under uncultured bacterium. Its description in RNAcentral is "partial 16S ribosomal RNA". It matches the Rfam family "Bacterial small subunit ribosomal RNA", at positions 524 to 776 of the family's 1533-position model. The record is from RNAcentral.
UACGUAGGGGGCAAGCGUUGUCCGGAUUUAUUGGGCGUAAAGAGCGUGUAGGCGGCCAGGUAGGUCCGUUGUGAAAACUGGAGGCUUAACCUCCAGCGGUCCAUGGAAACCAUCUGGCUAGAGUCCGGAAGAGGAGAGUGGAAUUCCUGGUGUAGCGGUGAAAUGCGCAGAUAUCAGGAAGAACACCCGUGGCGAAGGCGGCUCUCUGGGACGGUACUGACGCUGAGACGCGAAAGCGUGGGGAGCGAACAGG